RNAcentral lists this unclassified non-coding RNA (411 nucleotides) under plant metagenome. RNAcentral's name for it is "partial contains 5.8S ribosomal RNA, internal transcribed spacer 2, and large subunit ribosomal RNA". It matches the Rfam family "Bacterial small subunit ribosomal RNA", at positions 357 to 777 of the family's 1533-position model. The record is from RNAcentral.
GGGAAUAUUGCGCAAUGGGCGGAAGCCUGACGCAGCGACGCCGCGUGGGGGAUGACGGCCUUCGGGUUGUAAACCUCUUUCAGCAGGGACGAAGCCCUUGUGGUGACGGUACCUGCAGAAGAAGCACCGACCAACUACGUGCCAGCAGCCGCGGUAAUACGUAGGGUGCGAGCGUUGUCCGGAAUUAUUGGGCGUAAAGAGCUCGUAGGCGGUUCGUCGGGUCGGCUGUGAAAUCCCGGAGCUCAACUCCGGGUCUGCAGUCGAUACGGGCGGACUUGAGUUCGGCAGGGGAGACUGGAAUUCCUGGUGUAGCGGUGAAAUGCGCAGAUAUCAGGAGGAACACCGGUGGCGAAGGCGGGUCUCUGGGCCGAUACUGACGCUGAGGAGCGAAAGCGUGGGGAGCGAACAGGA